This 470-nucleotide ribosomal RNA is filed under the name Comamonadaceae bacterium. RNAcentral's name for it is "bacterial SSU rRNA". It matches the Rfam family "Bacterial small subunit ribosomal RNA", at positions 391 to 854 of the family's 1533-position model. The record is from RNAcentral. Lineage: Bacteria; Pseudomonadati; Pseudomonadota; Betaproteobacteria; Burkholderiales; Comamonadaceae.
GCAAUGCCGCGUGCAGGAUGAAGGCCUUCGGGUUGUAAACUGCUUUUGUACGGAACGAAACGGCGAGCUCUAAUACAGUUUGCUAAUGACGGUACCGUAAGAAUAAGCACCGGCUAACUACGUGCCAGCAGCCGCGGUAAUACGUAGGGUGCGAGCGUUAAUCGGAAUUACUGGGCGUAAAGCGUGCGCAGGCGGUGAUGUAAGACAGAUGUGAAAUCCCCGGGCUCAACCUGGGACCUGCAUUUGUGACUGCAUCGCUAGAGUACGGCAGAGGGGGAUGGAAUUCCGCGUGUAGCAGUGAAAUGCGUAGAUAUGCGGAGGAACACCGAUGGCGAAGGCAAUCCCCUGGGCCUGUACUGACGCUCAUGCACGAAAGCGUGGGGAGCAAACAGGAUUAGAUACCCUGGUAGUCCACGCCCUAAACGAUGUCAACUGGUUGUUGGGUCUUCACUGACUCAGUAACGAAGCUA